Molecule: unclassified non-coding RNA, 213 nt
Filed under: plant metagenome
Description: partial contains small subunit ribosomal RNA, internal transcribed spacer 1, and 5.8S ribosomal RNA
Source: RNAcentral
UUUCCGUAGGUGAACCUGCGGAAGGAUCAUUAAAAAUGAAGCCGGGAAACCGGUCCUUCUCACCCUUGAUUAUCUCAAUUUGUUGCUUUGGUGGGCCGCGCAAGCACCGGCUUCGGCUGGAUCGUGCCCGCCAGAGGACCACAACUCUGUAUUAUAUGUCGUCUGAGUACUAUAAAAUAGUUAGAACUUUCAACAACGGAUCUCUUGGUUCUG